This 492-nucleotide ribosomal RNA is filed under the name uncultured bacterium. Its description in RNAcentral is "partial 16S ribosomal RNA". It matches the Rfam family "Bacterial small subunit ribosomal RNA", at positions 29 to 507 of the family's 1533-position model. The record is from RNAcentral.
AGUGAACGCUGGCGGUAGGCCUAACACAUGCAAGUCGAACGGCAGCACAGUAAGAGCUUGCUCUUACGGGUGGCGAGUGGCGGACGGGUGAGGAAUACAUCUGAAUCUACUUUUUCGUGGGGGAUAACGUAGGGAAACUUACGCUAAUACCGCAUACGACCUACGGGUGAAAGCAGGGGAUCUUCGGACCUUGCGCGAUUGAAUGAGCCGAUGUCGGAUUAGCUAGUUGGCGGGGUAAAGGCCCACCAAGGCGACGAUCCGUAGCUGGUCUGAGAGGAUGAUCAGCCACACUGGAACUGAGACACGGUCCAGACUCCUACGGGAGGCAGCAGUGGGGAAUAUUGGACAAUGGGCGCAAGCCUGAUCCAGCCAUACCGCGUGGGUGAAGAAGGCCUUCGGGUUGUAAAGCCCUUUUGUUGGGAAAGAAAAGCAGCAGGUUAAUACCCCGCUGUUCUGACGGUACCUAAAGAAUAAGCACCGGCUAACUUCGUG